This 373-nucleotide ribosomal RNA is filed under the name uncultured bacterium. RNAcentral's name for it is "bacterial SSU rRNA". It matches the Rfam family "Bacterial small subunit ribosomal RNA", at positions 525 to 896 of the family's 1533-position model. The record is from RNAcentral.
ACAGAGGUCCCAAGCGUUGUUCGGAUUCACUGGGCGUAAAGGGUGCGUAGGCGGUUUGAUAAGUCUGAUGUGAAAUCCCGCAGCUUAACUGCGGAACUGCAUUGGAAACUGUUUGACUAGAGGAAUGGAGGGGAGACUGGAAUACUUGGUGUAGCAGUGAAAUGCGUAGAUAUCAAGUGGAACACCAGUGGCGAAGGCGAGUCUCUGGACAUUUCCUGACGCUGAGGCACGAAAGCCAGGGGAGCAAACGGGAUUAGAUACCCCGGUAGUCCUGGCCCUAAACGGUGCGCGUUUGCUGUGAGCGGAAUCGACCCCGCUCGUGGCGAAGUUAACACAUUAAACGCGCCGCCUGGGAAGUACGGCCGCAAGGUUA